GACGAACGCUGGCGGCGUGCUUAACACAUGCAAGUCGAACGGAAAGGCCUGCUUUCCCUUGUGGAUUGCGGGUACUCGAGUGGCGAACGGGUGAGUAACACGUGAGUGAUCUGCCCCCAACUUGGGUAUAAGCCUGGGAAACUGGGUCUAAUUCCCGAUAGGACUGCAGGGUGGUGCCUGUGGUGGAAAACGAUUUUCUAGUGGUUGGGGAUGAGCUCGCGGCCUAUCAGCUUGUUGGUGGGGUAAUGGCCUACCAAGGCGGCGACGGGUAGCCGGCCUGAGAGGGUGGACGGCCACAUUGGGACUGAGAUACGGCCCAGACUCCUACGGGAGGCUGCAGUGGGGAAUAUUGCACAAUGGGCGGAAGCCUGAUGCAGCGACGCCGCGUGGGGGAUGACGGCCUUCGGGUUGUAAACUCCUUUCGACCGCGAGGAAGCCACCUGGUUGGAAGGGUGGUGACGGUAGUGGUAGAAGAAGCACCGGCUAACUACGUG
Molecule: ribosomal RNA, 494 nt
Filed under: uncultured bacterium
Lineage: Bacteria
Description: partial 16S ribosomal RNA
Rfam family: Bacterial small subunit ribosomal RNA
Source: RNAcentral